Molecule: long non-coding RNA, 499 nt
Filed under: Daucus carota (carrot)
Lineage: Eukaryota; Viridiplantae; Streptophyta; Magnoliopsida; Apiales; Apiaceae
Description: long non-coding RNA (DCAR_LNC003960)
Source: RNAcentral
UCCCAUACUAUCUUGUGGCAUUCGCCCCAUAUUUGAUGGGCCUCCUCCCAUAUUUGAAGGACCUCCGCCCAUAUAUUGAGGGCCUCCAGGUCCUCCCAUAUUUUGUGGGCCUCCCAUGCCAGGUGGCCCUCCUCCCAUAUUUUGUGGGCCUCCCAUGCCAGGUGGCCCUCCCAUAUUUUGUGGGCCUCCUCUCCCUGGCGGCCCUCCUCCCAUAUUCUGUGGACCUCCCAUCCCAGGCGGCCCUCCCAUAUUCUGUGGGCCUCCCAUGCCAGGUGGCCCUCCUCCCAUAUUCUGUGGGCCUCCCAUGCCAGGUGGCCCUCCUCCCAUAUUCUGUGGACCUCCCAUUCCAGGUCCCAUGUUCUGUGGGCCUCCCACUCCUGGUGGCCCUCCCAUGUUAUUAGGACCAGGACCUUGCCUGUUCUGCUGCAUAUUUUCUCUUUUUCGUUCAAAGUUUCUUGAUCUAUCAAAGUUGCGAGGUCGGUCAUUGCGCCUAUUUCUC